UACAGAGGUGGCAAGCGUUGUUCGGAUUUAUUGGGCGUAAAGGGUCCGUAGGCGGUUUGGAAAGUCGGGUGUGAAAUCCCACAGCUUAACUGUGGAACUGCACUCGAAACUUCCAGACUAGAGUAUGAGAGGGGUAAAGGGAAUUCCCGGUGUAAGGGUGAAAUCUGCAGAGAUCGGGAGGAACACCAGUCGCGAAGGCGCUUUACUGGCUCAUUACUGACGCUCAGGGACGAAAGCUAGGGGAGCAAACGGG
Molecule: ribosomal RNA, 253 nt
Filed under: uncultured prokaryote
Description: partial 16S ribosomal RNA
Rfam family: Bacterial small subunit ribosomal RNA
Source: RNAcentral